GAUGAACGCUGGCGGCGUGCCUAAUACAUGCAAGUCGAGCGAACGGACGAGAAGCUUGCUUCUCUGAUGUUAGCGGCGGACGGGUGAGUAACACGUGGAUAACCUACCUAUAAGACUGGGAUAACUUCGGGAAACCGGAGCUAAUACCGGAUGAUAUUUUGAACCGCAUGGUUCAAAAGUGAAAGACGGUCUUGCUGUCACUUAUAGAUGGAUCCGCGCUGCAUUAGCUAGUUGGUAAGGUAACGGCUUACCAAGGCAACGAUGCAUAGCCGACCUGAGAGGGUGAUCGGCCACACUGGAACUGAGACACGGUCCAGACUCCUACGGGAGGCAGCAGUAGGGAAUCUUCCGCAAUGGGCGAAAGCCUGACGGAGCAACGCCGCGUGAGUGAUGAAGGUCUUCGGAGCGUAAAACUCUGUUAUUAGGGAAGAACAUAUGUGUAAGUAACUGUGCACAUCUUGACGGUACCUAAUCAGAAAGCCACGGCUAACUACGUG
RNAcentral lists this ribosomal RNA (497 nucleotides) under uncultured bacterium. RNAcentral's name for it is "partial 16S ribosomal RNA". It matches the Rfam family "Bacterial small subunit ribosomal RNA", at positions 28 to 507 of the family's 1533-position model. The record is from RNAcentral.